Non-coding RNA from Caerostris extrusa, 88 nucleotides. The record is from the annotation of a GenBank genome assembly. Lineage: Eukaryota; Metazoa; Arthropoda; Arachnida; Araneae; Araneidae.
CUGCCAUACCAUGCUGAAUAUACCGGUUCUCGUUAGAUCACCGAAGUCAAGCAUCAUUGGGCGCGGUCUGUACUUGGGUGGGUGACCA